CCUACGGGAGGCAGCAGUGAGGAAUAUUGCACAAUGGGGGAAACCCUGAAGCAGCGACGCAGCGUGAGUGAAGACGUAAUUCGGUAUGUAAAGCUCUAUCAGCAGGGGAGAAAAUGACGGUACCUGAGUAAGAUGCCCCGGCCAAAUACGUGCCAGCACCCGCGGUAAUACGGAGGGUGCCAGAGUUAUCCGGAUUUACUGGGUGUAAAGGGAGCGUAGUCGGUUAUGCAAGUCUGAAGUGAAAGCCUAAGGCUCAACCAUGGGACUGCUUUGGAAACUGUAAAACUGGAGUGCAGGAGAGGUAUGCGGAAUUCGUGGUGUAGCGGUGAAAUGCGUAGAUAUUAGGAAGAACACCGGUGGCGAAGGCGGCUUACUGGACUGUAACUGACGUUGAGGCUCGAAGGCGUGGGGAGCAAACAGGAUUAGAUACCCCUGUAGUC
This 440-nucleotide ribosomal RNA is filed under the name uncultured bacterium. RNAcentral's name for it is "partial 16S ribosomal RNA". It matches the Rfam family "Bacterial small subunit ribosomal RNA", at positions 338 to 795 of the family's 1533-position model. The record is from RNAcentral.